UGUAAAAUGGACACAAAAACAAGAAGAAAUGCUCAUGAGAAAACACAGUGAUAGACGCCUUUUCUAAACAGUUUCUGCUUUGUUUGGGACAACCCUCCAGGUCAUCCAAAAUGGAAGCUGAAUCAUAACAGGUGGACUACGUUUUGUAAAACUGAUUUGACACUAAGAAAACUUACUGAUUGAAAUGACUGAACUCUGCUCUUUCAAGAUAUUCCUUUUAAUUUUUUUGGCAAAGCUAGAUAUACUUUUUGAUUUGGAAUAAUAUAUCUCAAUGAAUUCAUUAAUAAGGUCAUAUAGUUCAUUUGUAUUCUGAUUCUAGGUAUAAAUUUUCACUUUUUAGAUUUUCUUAAGUUAUAAUUAUGCUUAUAAUUUGUUUUGGCAUCUCUUAUGACUAUCAAACUGAUGAUUUAAAAUACUUAUUCCCAAUGUAAGUGACAUGAUUUACUCACACUACAUUAUGAAAUAAUUUUUUCAUUCAAAAUUAAACUUCAGUUGUCCUUCUCUUUCUCUCCUUUUCUAAUCCAACAAAUCAGAUCUAUUUUUAUAUUUGUUUAUAUUUUUUAAUCAACUACACAUCCCUUUAAAUCUGU
Molecule: long non-coding RNA, 590 nt
Filed under: Homo sapiens (human)
Lineage: Eukaryota; Metazoa; Chordata; Mammalia; Primates; Hominidae
Description: non-protein coding lnc-RFPL3-2:1
Source: RNAcentral